UAGAGUUUGAUCCUGGCUCAGAUUGAACGCUGGCGGCAUGCCUUACACAUGCAAGUCGAACGGCAGCACGGGGGCAACCCUGGUGGCGAGUGGCGAACGGGUGAGUAAUACAUCGGAACGUGCCCUGUAGUGGGGGAUAGCUCGGCGAAAGCCGGAUUAAUACCGCAUACGACCUACGGGUGAAAGCGGGGGACCGCAAGGCCUCGCGCUACUGGAGCGGCCGAUGCCCGAUUAGCUAGUUGGUGGGGUAAUGGCCCACCAAGGCGACGAUCGGUAGCUGGUCUGAGAGGACGACCAGCCACACUGGGACUGAGACACGGCCCAGACUCCUACGGGAGGCAGCAGUGGGGAAUUUUGGACAAUGGGCGAAAGCCUGAUCCAGCCAUGCCGCGUGCGGGAAGAAGGCCUUCGGGUUGUAAACCGCUUUUGGCAGGAACGAAACGGCGCUUGCUAAUACCGAGCGCUAAUGACGGUACCUGCAGAAUAAGCACCGGCUAACUACGUGCCAGCAGCCCCGGUCAA
This 522-nucleotide ribosomal RNA is filed under the name uncultured bacterium. RNAcentral's name for it is "bacterial SSU rRNA". It matches the Rfam family "Bacterial small subunit ribosomal RNA", at positions 1 to 524 of the family's 1533-position model. The record is from RNAcentral.